Molecule: long non-coding RNA, 1765 nt
Organism: Perca flavescens (yellow perch)
Lineage: Eukaryota; Metazoa; Chordata; Actinopteri; Perciformes; Percidae
Exons: 4
Source: RefSeq, a predicted model, not a curated record
CUUAUCCAUGCACCCAAAGAGGGGAAAGACAUCCGUUUAAAAGUGAUUUUAUCGAUGAUGUUAUGGUCGGAAACACACGAACCUCAGCCUGUAACAAACAAAAGGGGGCUUCGGCCAUGAUGGGGCUGCUGGUUGUAGUUACAUGACGUUACAAACGCAUUUAAUGCAUGGUUGAGGCUUUGUUUCACACAUUAUAACCUGGGGGCUUGGCUACAUCUCGGCAUUUCCUACUGCCCUCAAAGGUCUGAAAGCGUUGGGAGAACAUUUACAGGUAAGAAGGAUAUAUACAGGUUUUGAGCCCCCUAAAUGUUCUGUUUACUUCUUUUGGAGAGUGCGUUGUCUUUCAUGGGGUGGCAAAUCUACAGGUUCUAAAUAUUGGGGGAGAGACAUAUUUCCUGCAUCCCCCGAAACCUCCACCUAUGAAUUUAAUAGUUGGUUUGGGGCCUAACGGCAGCCAAACUAACCGUUGGCCGGAUAGAAAUCAGCUUCCACAGACUGUGAUAACGUUAUAAAUACUUAGUUACCGACUUUAUUUCGCCCAAAAUCUCGUACCCUCCCCCCCAUGGGCGACAUUUGUAUUUAAUACCAGCAGCCUUUUCCGGGAUAAUUUCCGUGUAACUGUUCGGAAAACGUGAAAUAAUUGAACCGUAGAGAACGUUAAACCGUCGUCGCUUUGUUUUGAUUUUGCCUUCUAAACUGUCGCGGAAUACUGCGCAUGCGCUGUGGGGGAAACAUGUUAAAUGGGCCUGCAGUUAGCUCCCAGGCUAACAGGCUGCAGAGAGCAGUUAGCCAGGUAACUGUCUGACUUUAUGCUGUUAGAUCAACUCUAGAGACCCAACAAAGACGCUUUUAAUGGAUCGUCCUGCAGAGCAGGAGACAAGCCCCGUAGCUCGGUGAGAUUUCGGGCAGAGCCGAGGAGGUUUCCGGCUCCAUGUGUGCCUGAAGAGAAAGAGCUCUUUGUCUGGAGGACGUGUGGUGUUGACCCAGUUGAUCUGCACAGGAAACUCCAGCCACAAGUACCAGCACAAGACAACGAAGAAACACAAACACAUCCAGUUUUCAUUCAUCCUGCAUGUGAAGAUGUUAAACAGUUGCAUCAGAAAAGGGUGACGAUGGCGUUCCAUUCAGGGCCCGGUUUGAGUCAAACCGACAUCCGUUUGAAUUCAUUUUUAGAGUCUACGAUUUAAAGCUGAAGACUGAAGAUGUUGGUAUCAGCUGCAACUAGACGAUCUCAGCAGAGAGAAUCCGCCUCCGGUCCGGGUACGCUGCUGUGAUUGGUCAGACGUUAAUGACGACAUCGUCCUCUUCGUCUCUGAGUCCGUCCUGCAGCGCGUCCCCCCCCUCCCCUCCCCCACAGGGUCCGAUGAUGUACCUGUAGUCUCCCCCGAUGGCGAGCGCCGCCGCGGAGCCGACCAUCAGCCAGUCCGUCUCUCUCUCCUCGUCCUCGGCGCGCCGCUGCCACGGGACGGCCCAGCUCGGCUCGUCCUCCUGGGCCUCGGCCGCCCCCCCCGGCUCGCCCUCCAGGUUCACGUAGAGCAGCGCCUCUCGGGCCGCCGCGGCGGGGGACAGGCUCAGCAGCAGCGCCUCCAGCUGGACGACCACGUCCUGGAAACUGGGACGACAUUUAGGGACGGGACUCCAGCAGCUGUGCAUCAGCUCGUAGCUGAUGGCGAGACACAAAGAAUCAGCAGUACAUGAGUUACUCUACUGUUACUGUAAUGUUAGAAAUAUCUUAUUAAAAAGGUCCCAUGGUAUGAAAAUGUCA